RNAcentral lists this ribosomal RNA (253 nucleotides) under uncultured bacterium. RNAcentral describes it as "partial 16S ribosomal RNA". It matches the Rfam family "Bacterial small subunit ribosomal RNA", at positions 524 to 776 of the family's 1533-position model. The record is from RNAcentral.
GACGUAGGGAGCGAGCGUUGUCCGGAUUCAUUGGGCGUAAAGCGCGUGUAGGCGGCCAGGUAGGUCCGACGUGAAAACUGGAGGCUCAACCUCCAGCUGUCGUCGGAAACCCUCUGGCUAGAGUCCGGAAGAGGAGAGUGGAAUUCCUGGUGUAGCGGUGAAAUGCGCAGAUAUCAGGAAGAACACCGAUGGCGAAGGCAGCUCUCUGGGACGGUACUGACGCUGAGACGCGAAAGCGUGGGGAGCGAACAGG